GGGGAACGAGAGAGGGGCUGGAGCCGUUGAACCACCCCAAGGCUUAGGAAGCAUAGGCUCA
Molecule: non-coding RNA, 61 nt
Organism: Bos taurus (domestic cattle)
Lineage: Eukaryota; Metazoa; Chordata; Mammalia; Artiodactyla; Bovidae
Source: Rfam